Molecule: transfer RNA, 74 nt
Filed under: Monodelphis domestica (gray short-tailed opossum)
Lineage: Eukaryota; Metazoa; Chordata; Mammalia; Didelphimorphia; Didelphidae
Rfam family: tRNA
About the family: Transfer RNA (tRNA) molecules are approximately 80 nucleotides in length. Their secondary structure includes four short double-helical elements and three loops (D, anti-codon, and T loops).
Source: Rfam by way of RNAcentral
AUCUAUAUGGCUCAGUUGAUAAGAGCUCUAGAUCUAGAAUCUAGUAAACUUGAGUUCAAAUCUAGUCGUAGAUA